Non-coding RNA from Chiloscyllium plagiosum (whitespotted bambooshark), 2326 nucleotides. Lineage: Eukaryota; Metazoa; Chordata; Chondrichthyes; Orectolobiformes; Hemiscylliidae. The record is from RefSeq and is a predicted model, not a curated record.
CGCCUCACGCCUGUGCAGCCUUUGGACGUCACAAUCAAGCGUCCUCCGCGCUUGCCACAAAAUAGUCCUAUACUUCUCCGAAAGUAAUCCCGCGUUGAUCGCGAGAUUUAACCCCCGCCCCCACCGCCACUGCCUUUAACGGAUGCCCUGAGGGGGAGGGCAAGCCAGGUCAGACAGGUGAGAUAACCACUACACCUGUAAGUAUCAUCUUUGAAAGGAUUUGCUCGGAUUUAUUUGCAGAUUUAGUCAUCAAUUCGUCAAGAACGUAUUUUUUUCUCGUCUAUAGCCUUUACUCCGUCCGAAAGUUUCAUUUUUUCAUCGCUCUGAUCUAUUUUUAUAUGUUUUGUAUCUGCCACAGCAGGGUGUCAAACGAAAACUUGCAAGAAAAGACAGACGAAAUACGGACAGGUGUUCCGGUAGCAAAAGCAUUUCGAUUCUUUUAUAUACACGCUGAAUUGCAGAAAAUUUAGGGUACGGGUUAGACCGUUGUUUCUGCGCCGACCCUCUGGAACAUUUUGAACUCUUCACAACUUUGGUACUACAUUUGACUCCCAGAAUUCUUUGUUCUGGAUACCCCAACGAGAGGAAACAUCAACUCUGCAUCCAGUCUCACCACUCCUGUUUCAAUGAGACCUCCUCUCUAUCUUCUAAACUCCGGUGAGGAGAGCCAAACUGCACAUAAUACUUCAGGUCUGCAUCAAUGACUACCGCCCUGUUGCACUUACACCCAUCGUCAUGAAGUGCUUCAAGAGGCUCGUGAUAAGGUACAUUAAGACCCUGCUGCCUCCCUCACUGGACAUCCUGCAGUUCGCAUAUUGACCCAACCGCUCAACAAAUUAUGCCAUUUAUACCACCCUCCAUCUGACACUCACCCACCUAGAGAAGGACACCUACGUCAGACUACUGUUUCUAGACUUCAGUUUUGCAUUUAACACUAUAAUUCCUCAGCACCUGAUUGGAAAGUUGAGUCUGCAGGGCCUAAGUACCUCACUGGAUCCUGGACUUCCUGACUGGGAGACCUCAGUCAGUCUGGAUCAGGAACAGCAUCUCCAACACCAUCACACUGAGCACAGGGGCCCCAGAGGGCUGUGUGCUCGGUCCACUGCUGUUCACCCUGCUGACACACGACUGUGCAAUGACGCACAAGUCGAAUCACAUCAUCAAGUCCGCUAAUGAUACGACUGUAGUGGGUCUCAUCAGAAGGAACAGUGAGUCAACCUACAGAGAGGAGGUGCAUGGCUAAUGGACUGGUGCAGAGCCAACAACCUUUGUCUGAAUGUGGACAAGACAAAAGAGAUGGUUAUUGAAUUCAGGAGGACAUGGAGCGACCGCUGUCUGCUGAACAUCGAUGGCUUCCCUGUGGAGAUCAUAAAUUUCUUGGUGUACACCUGGCGGAGAAUCUCACUGGACCCUCAACAUGUGCUCCAUAGCUAAGAAAGCCCAGCAGCAUCUCUACUUUCUGUGCAAGCUGAGGAAAGCCCACCUCCCACUCCUCAUCCUCACCACAUUCUACAGAGGGUUCAUUGAGAGUACCCUGAGCUGCUGCAUCACCGCCUGUUCAGAAAUUGCAUCAUCUCAGAUCGUAAGACCCUACAACAGAUAGUGAGGACAGCUGAGAAGAUCAUUGGGAUCUCUCCCCUCCAUUACAGACAUUUACACCACAUGCUGCAUCCGAAAGGCUAAGAGCAUUGUGGAAGAUUCCACCCAUUCCCCAUUCAAACUUUUCUCCUUCCUGUCAUCUGGCAGAAGAUACCGGAGCAUAUGUUCUCUCACGGCCAGACUGUGCAAAUAUUUCUUCCCCCAAGCCAUAAGGCUCCUUAAGACCGUAUAAUUGGACUCUUUCCCAUCUGAGAUUCUUUCGUAUUGCGGCUAGAAACAUCAUUCUUCCGUUACACUGUAAUUUGUGUUUUUUUCACUUAUUAUACACUUUAUGCCGUGUACGAUUGUGUAGUUUGUAUUGUCCAUGUAGCACCCUCAGUACUGAAGGGAUGCUGUCUCUUUUACUGUUUCAUGUGUAUAUUGUAGAAAUGACAAAUAAAAAUUUUCUCUAUUCUACUCUACUCUCUGACAAUAUGGAUUAACUGCUAAAUUUAAACAUGUACUCUUCCAUGCUUCAGGUUCUAUUGAAAGGAAAAAUUGACAUGGUAUAUUAUCAAGCAUGUGGUCUGAUAUUGGGCAGGCGAUGUAAUAGUGCCUGUUUUGCAUUCCUGCUGAAGUUGAAUGUUUUGUUUGAUACAUCAAAAAUUGUAGCACAACUUGCGUGCAUUUCUGAGACAAUUUGAGUGAGUGAGAAAACACAAAUAGCGCUCUUCCAUGUUUAGAUAUU